UCCUACGGGAGGCAGCAGUGGGGAAUUUUGGACAAUGGGGGAAACCCUGAUCCAGCCAUCCCGCGUGAGUGAAGAAGGCCUUCGGGUUGUAAAGCUCUUUCGAAAGUGAAGAAAACCUAUUUCGUAAUAUGUUAUAGGUAUGACGGUAACUUUAGAAGAAGCACCGGCUAACUACGUGCCAGCAGCCGCGGUAAUACGUAGGGUGCGAGCGUUAAUCGGAAUUACUGGGCGUAAAGCGUGCGCAGGCGGUUUUGUAAGUCAGAUGUGAAAUCCCCGAGCUUAACUUGGGAACUGCGUUUGAAACUACAAGACUAGAGUGUGUCAGAGGGGGGUAGAAUUCCACGUGUAGCAGUGAAAUGCGUAGAGAUGUGGAGGAAUACCAAUGGCGAAGGCAGCCCCCUGGGAUAACACUGACGCUCAUGCACGAAAGCGUGGGGAGCGAACAGGAUUAGAUACCCUGGUAGUCCACGCCCUAAACGAUGUCAACUAGUUGUUGGUGGAGUAAGAUCCAUGAGUAACGUAGCUAACGCGUGAAGUUGACCGCCUGGGGAGUACGGUCGCAAGAUUAAAACUCAAAUGAAUUGACGGA
Molecule: ribosomal RNA, 589 nt
Filed under: uncultured bacterium
Lineage: Bacteria
Description: bacterial SSU rRNA
Rfam family: Bacterial small subunit ribosomal RNA
Source: RNAcentral